UUUUUUUUUGUUUUCUCUUUUGUUUGGGACUUUUCUCUUUUUUAUGGCCUAUUUUUUCUUUUUCUUUUUAUUUUUCGUCAGGAGUCUCAUCCCGACUUGUGGGGGAAUCAUAGUCUCCAUCAUCCUUUCCUCACUAGGACAAUGCUUGAAUAAUGAAGAUCAUCACACUUUUAUUUACUUACAACUCAAGAAUUACAACUCGAUACUUAGAACAAAAUAUGACUCUAUAUGAAUGCCUCCGGCGGUGUACCGGGAUGUGCAAUGAAUCAAGAGUGACAUGUAUGAAAGAAUUAUGAAAGGUGGCUUUGCCACAAAUACGAUGUCAACUACAUGAUGAUACAAAGCAAUAUGACAAUGAUGAAGCGUGUCGUAAUAAACAGAACAGUGGAAAGUUGCAUGGCAAUAUAUCUCUGAAUGGCUAUGGAAUAUGCCAUAAUAGGUAGGUAUGGUGGCUGUUUUGAGGAAGGUAUGGUGGGUGUAUGGUACCGGCGAAAGUUGUGCGGCACAAGAGAGGCUAGCAAUGGUGGAAGGGUGAGAGUGCGUAUAAUCCAUGGACUCAAUAUUAGUCAUAAAGAACUCACAUACUUAUUGUAAAAAUCUAUUAGUUAUCGAAACGAAGUACUACACGCAUGCUCCCAGGGGGUAGAUUGGUAGGAAAAGACCAUCGCUCGUCCCCGACCGCCACUCAUAAGGAAGACAAUCAAAAAAUAAAUCAUGCUCCGACUUCAUCACAUAACGGUUCUCCAUACGUGCAUGCUACGGGAAUCACAAACUUUAACACAAGUAUCUCUCAAAUUCACAACUACUCAACUAGCAUGACUCUAAUAUCACCAUCUUCAUAUCUCAAAACAAUCAUAAGGAGUCAAACUUCUCAUAGUAUUUAAUGCACUUUAUAUGAAAGUUUUUAUUAUAUCUCUCUUGGAUACCCAUCAUAUUAGGACUAGUUUUAUAACCCAAGCAAAUUACCAUGCUGUUUAAGACUCUCAAAAUAAUAUAAUUGAAUCAUGAGAGUUCAUCUAUUUCUUUAAAGUAAAACCACCGAUGUGCUCUAAAAAGAUAUAAGUGAGGCACUAGAGCAAAUGACAAACUACUCCAAAAGAUAUGAGUGAAAAUCAAUGAGUAGUCGAAUAAUUAUGUAACUAUGUGAAGACUCUCUAACAUUUAAGAAUUUCAUAUCUUGGGAUUUUAUUCAAACAGAAAGCAAAACAAAAUAAAAUAAAAUGACGCUCCAAGCAAAACACAUAUCAUGUGGUGAAUAAAAAUAUGGCUCCAAGUAAGGUUACCGAUGAACGAAGACGAAAGAGGGGGUGCCAUCCGGGGCAUCCCCAAGCUUAGGCUCUUGGUUGUCCUUGAAUAUUACCUUGGGGUGCCUUGGGCAUCCCCAAGCUUAGGCUCUUGCCACUCCUUAUUCCAUAGCCCAUCGAAUCUUUACCCAAAACUUGAAAACUUCACAACACAAAACUUAACAGAAAACUCGUAAGCUCCGUUAGUAUAAGAAAAUAAAUCACCACUUAGGUACUGUUGUGAACUCAUUCUAAAUUCAUAUUGGUGUAAUAUCUACUGUAUUCCAACUUCUGUAUGGUUCAUACCCUCCGAUACUACUCAUAGAUUCAUCAAAAUAAGCAAACAACACAAUGAAAACAGAAUCUGUCAAAAAUAGAACAGUCUGUAGUAAUCUGUAACUCUCGAAUACUUCUGUAACCCCAAAAAUUCUGAAAUAAAUUGGUGGACCUGAGGAAUUUGUCUAUUAAUAUUCUGCAAAAAUAAUCAACUUAAAAGCACUCUUCUGUAAAAAAAAUGGCAGCUAAUCUCAUGAGCGCAAAGUUUCUGUUUUUUACAGCAGGAUCACAUUAACUUUCACCCAAGUCUUCCCAAAGGUUCUACUUGGCACUUUAUUGAAACAAAAGCUAUAAAACAUGAUUACUACAGUAGCUUAAUCAUGUGAACACACAAAAACAGUAGGGGUAAAUAAUGGGUUGUCUCCCAACAAGCGCUUUUCUUUAAUGCCUUUUAGCUAGGCAUGAUGAUUUCAAUGAUGCUCGCAUAAAAGAUAAGAAUUGAAACAUAAAGAGAGCAUCAUGAAGCAUAUUACUAACACAUUUAAUUCUAACCCACUUCCUAUGCAUAGGGAUUUUGUGAGCAAACAACUUAGGGGAACAAUAAUCAACUAGCAUAGGAAGGCAAAACAAGCAUAACUUUAAAACUUUAAGCACAUAGAGAGGAAACUUGAUAUUAUUGCAAUUCCUAAAAGCAUAUAUUCCUCCCUCAUAAUAAUUUUCAGUAUCAUCAUGAAUGAAUUCAACAAUAUAACUAUCGCAUAAAGCAUUCUUUUCAUGAGCCACAAGCAUAGAAUUUUUAUUACUCUCCACAUAAGCAAAUUUCUUCUCAUGAAUAGAAGUGGGAGCAAACUCAACAAAAUAACUAUCAUGUGAGGCAUAAUCCAAUUGAAAAUUAAAAUCAAGAUGACAAGUUUCAUGGUUACCAUUAUUCUUUAUAGCAUACAUGUCAUCACAAUAAUCAUCAUAGAUAGCAACUUUGUUCUCAUAAUCAAUUGGAACCUUUUCCGAAAUAGUGGAUUCAUCACUAAAUAAAGCCAUGACCUCUCCAAAUCCACUUUCAUCAAUAUAAUCAUCAUAAAUAGGAGGCAUGCUAUCAUCAAAAUAAAUAUUCUCAUCAAAACUUGGGGGACUAAAAAUAUCAUCUUCAUCAAACAUAGCAUCCCCAAGCUUGCGGCUUUGCAUAUCAUUAGCAUCAUGGAUAUUCAAAGAAUUCACACUAACAACAUUGCAAUCAUGCUCAUCAUUCAAGUAUUUAGUGCCAAACAUUUUAAUGCAUUCUUCUUCUAGCACUUCGGCACAAUUUUCCUUUCCAUCAUUUUCACGAAAGAUAUUAAAAAGAUGAAGCAUAUGAGGCACCCUCAAUUCCAUUUUUUUGUAGUUUUCUUUUAUAAACUAAACUAGUGAUAAAACAAGAAACUAAAAGAUUCGAUUGCAAGAUCUAAAGAUAUACCUUCAAGCACUAACCUCCCCAGCAACGGCGCCAGAAAAGAGCUUGAUGUCUAUUACACAACCUUCUUCUUGUAGACGUUGUUGGGCCUCCAAGUGCAGAGGUUUGUAGGACAGUAGCAAAUUUCCCUCAAGUGGAUGACCUAAGAUUUAUCAAUCGGUGGGAGGCGUAGGGUGAAGAUGGUCUCUCUCAAACAACCCUGCAACCAAAUAACAAAGAGUCUCUUGUGUCCCCAACACAUCCAAUACAAUGGUAAAUUGUAUAGGUGCACUAGUUCGGCGAAGAGAUGGUGAUACAAGUGCAAUAUGGAUGGUAGAUAUAGGUUUUUGUAAUCUGAAAAUAUAAAAACAGCAAGGUAGCAAGAGGUAAAAGUGAGCGUAAACGGUAUUGCAAUGCUAGGAAACAAGGCCUAGGGUUCAUACUUUCACUAGUGCAAGUUCUCUCAACAAGGAUAACAUAACUGGAUCAUAUAACUAUCCCUCAACAUGCAACAAAGAGUCACUCCAAAGUCACUAAUAGCAUAGAACAAACGAAGAAAUUAUUAUAGGGUAUGAAACCACCUUAAAGUUAUUCUUUCCGAUCAAUCCAUUGGGCUAUUCCUAUAAGUGUCACAAACAACUCUAGAGUUCGUAGUAAAAUAACACCUUAAGACACACAUCAACCAAAACCCUAAUGUCACCUCAAGUAUCCGCGGGUAUGAUUAUCCGAUAUGCAUCACACAAUCUCAGAUUCAUCUAUUCAAACCAACACAAAGAACUUCAAAGAGUGCCCCAAAGUUUCUACCAGAGAGUCAAGACGAAAACGUGUGCCAACCCCUAUGCAUAGAUUCCCAAGGUCACGGAACCCGCAAGUUGAUCACCAAAACAUACAUCAAGUGAAUCAAUAGAAUACCCCAUUGUCACCACAGGUAUCCCACGCAAGACAUACAUCAAAUGUUCUCAAAUCCUUAAAGACUCAAUCUGAUAAGAUAACUUCAAAGGGAAAAACUCAAUCCAUUACAAGAGAGUAGAGGGGGAAAACAUCAUAAGAUCCAACUAUAAUAGCAAAGCUCACGAUACAUCAAGAUCGUGCCAUAUCAAGAACACGAGAGAGAGAGAGAGAGAGAGAGAGAGAGAUCAAACACAUAGCUACUGGUACGUACCCUCAGCCUCGAGGGCGAACUACUCCCUCCUCGUCAUGGAGAGCGCCGGGAUGAUGAAGAUGGCCACCGGUGAUGGAUCCCCCCUCCGGUAGGGUGCCGGAACAGGGUCCUGAUUGGUUUUUGCUGGCUAGAGAGGCUUGCGGCGGCGGAACUCCCGAUCUAGGUUUCUUUCUGGGGGUUUCUGUAUUUAUAGGAAUUUUUGGCAUCGGUCUCACGUCAGGGGGGUCUCCGAGUCAUCCACGAGAUAGGGGCGCGCCCUCCACCCUCGUGGAUGGCUCGGGACUCUUCUGGCCCAACUCUUUUACUCCGGGGGCCUCUUUUGGUCCAUAAAAAAUGAUCAAAAAUUGGCACGUCAAUUGGACUCCAUUUGGUAUUCCUUUUCUGUAAAACUCAAAAACAAGGAAAAAAACAGAAACUGGCACUGGGCUCUAGGUUAAUAAAUUAGUCCCAAAAAUCAUAUAAAACAGCAUAUAAAUGCAUAUAAAACAUCCAAGAUGGAUAAUAUAAUAGCACGGAACAAUCAAAAAUUAUAGAUACGUUGGAGACGUAUCACUGCCACCACCGGCAAGCCGAGCAAAGAUUUCACCCUGGCCUUUGUCUAAGAAAUCCCAAACCGCCGGGGUAGACUUCAGAGAGGAUGAAGUCGAGACACAGGCCGAAGCCGCCAAUUGCAGGAAGGGAGCAACGCCCGCCGCCGAAGCCGGCAUAAAAAACCAUCGAAAGAGCGAGCUACAGAUCUGAGAGAAGGGGUGAGGGCAUAUGUGAGCGGGUUUGGGUGGCCGAGAAAAGGGGAAUGCGACAGCGAAGGGGAUGCAACGUUGGCCGACACGUCGACAGGCCAAGAUCUGGAGAGGAGCACAACUCCGGAGCAUGUCGGGUAUAGAGCCGCGCCAGCGUGGACCCCAGUCGGCCAUGAACACAUGAGGGGACGCUGGUCCAUGGCUACAAGGGGUUGUAGCCUGAGCACACUCAAGAGGGAAGAGGACCGCCAUGGAAAGCUUGCGCACCCGCCACGCCAUCCUAUCGACGUACUACGAAGGCAGCUGCCAUCGAGGUACCACGAAGGGGGGAGGGCGCCGCAUCCCAAGGGCAUCCCAGACCAGCCCGCGAGGAGCAGCCAGGAGUAGAUGUGGAUUGGUGGCGCACGUGGUGGUGGCGGAUCCACAUCUACUCUUGAAGGAAACCUCAAGUGAAGAACUUUUAAGCCUCCUUUGGUUUGUAGGAAUUUUAUAAGAAUCCCAUAGGAUAGGAUUUGUAUAGGAAAAAAUCCUUUAGAGCCCUUUGAUUUGUAGGAAUAGAACCCUAUUCCUAUGGUGGAAUUCUUCCUAUCCUCCACCUUUUCUAGGAAAAUAAACAUUACCUAGACUCAAUGGAAAAAAUCCUACGAUGUAAACCAAAGGGCAUCUUCUUUUCUAUUCCUAUUCAUAGGAUUUCAGAUACAUGUCAUCUCAUUUCCUAUGACUUUCUUAUUACUAUGACUUUCCUAUUUAGAUACAUUAUAAUUGUGUACAUUCUGAGGCCUCUCAUGCAGCCCGGUUUUUCAGCCAUCCGAUCCAGAUCUUUCGACUUCCUGACCAUGGAUUCGUGCAUACUUCCUGGCUGGGCCCUGGACUGGUCGUUCGCUGCAAAAGGGGGCUGCAAACUGAAUCGAUGUGUGGUGUGCAGCUGCUCCGGUAGCAAAAUAUGAGUAUUCUGGUUGAUUGGGCCGCUUCUUCGAUUGGGUGGCCCAUUUUCUUGUUCGAUUGCCUGCGGACGCCACUCGUGAGAGAGGCAGGCGAUUCAUCAAGGGCCGCGCUGUUUGUUGUCCUUAAUGGUUCGCUUAAUGGCAUGAUGGCAGCCGAAGAGCGUCGGCCGCCUGUUCGCUUUCCGGCCAAUAAUAGUGUGGGAGGCGGCGGGUGGGUCGCUCGAUGCCCUUCCACCUCCUCCAUACCUUGAUGACCCUACUAAUUCGUACCCUAGAGCACAUCAUCUCUUCUUCUCCAUGCUCCGCACAACAGCGAUAUUCUCUUCUCAGCGACUGGUGACGACGGAUUCAGAUUUCAUGGUGGCUUCUCUCGAGGGCGGGGCGUCGACCCGUUGGCUGGGCAGCUGGGAUUGCUGCUAACCCACCCGAGUUCAAGUCCUGGCUUGGACGCACGGUGCUCGCGGAGUUUCUCCUAUAAAAAAUGCCAACGAGAGUUAACCCUUGGGUUGGUCUCUUUUUUUUUAUGGUGGCUUCCCUCACCAGUGGACUGCUCAUGACUCGGCAAGAUAGGGAGUGAGAAAGGACAGACAGUUUGUCACCACCGCUGUUUCUAACAUAUCCCCCCUUCCACCACUGCCUUGCGCCGCCCGGAUCCCAUCCUUGCCACCAUUCCCACUUUGGGAGAUGAACGCGCGGAAAGAAGGUACAUGAGGCGCUUGUCCAAUUUUUCUUUUGCUACCUCUUAGAUUUGAUCUACGGAACGCCAUGGGGGCUAGGCGGAUUUGUGAGGGCUCGUGACCACAAGCCUCUGUUGCAGACUCUCCUUGCAAAGGAAAAAAAUCUCUGGAGUCGAGGCCGCCGCAACAGAGGAAUCAAAAAAGUGAUGAUGCUUGAUGCACAUCAGACGAUGCCAAGUCUCUUUCACAGUCUUUCUGAGGUCGUUGCAACACAAUGAGGAUUAGAGUAUUCUCUUUGAAGGUAUUUUCAUUACUGAUACUCACAUAUCCGUCCUUGUUCUGUCAUUUUAACAUCUUUGUGCAUUGGCGCGAGCCUCACUUUGAGUUUUUCUUAAUUCUAAUUUGUUGCCCGCAGUAUGUGAUCUUCAUAAUUGACAUUCCUCAUCCGAAGUAUAAGCCCAUCAUGCAAAACAAGGGAAAGAAUAAAGCAGCUGAUAUAGUAGUACUAACUACUGAUAUUGGCAACUUUGUACAUGAUGUACGCUCCUUGAGUUUAUUGGUAUUCUUCUGCAGGUAUCAAGAAAAUUAAACGUUCUGUAAAAAGAGAUUAAGUACUUCAGGGCAUAACAGAUCAAAAUGGUGGCGCGCCGAUCUGUUCAAAUGGUAGCACUUCGCUGAUGUUGGCGCAGCUACCCUUAUACGGGCGUUGGAUUGGACUGACUUCAGCUCUUCAGAGUGACCGAGUACUACAUACAUACAUGGGUGUGGGCCUCCCCUGCGGAUCCUUGCUACAGCGAAUGAAAAUUGCAGGCAGACAAACACUUGAUGGAACAGGUUGGCUCGAGAAAAGAUGGACAUGCCCAUAUGUCCUUUUAAUUUGUGGGAGGAGGCAGUGGGUCUCCAAAUUCAGAACUUAAUUGUUAACCAUCUCUUGGUUAGUAAUAUUAAAACAUAAAUAACUUCCCAUGUGAUUUCAGGUGAAUGAGAGGACCGUGAAGCUUACAGAGGCUAUGAAAUCUAUGGCGAUCUGAUGUCACAGAGCAGCGUCUGAGCUCUUGAUCACUCGAGUAAACAGCCAUCAAAAAUUAGCGAACUGUGAGUGCUACCUGCACUAUCCAACUGUUACAAUGAACUAUGUUGUUCAGUCCAUCCUUGUGGUGUUGUAAUUUGUAAUUAGUUCUUGGAUCGGUUAUUUUAGAUGGACUACACCAUUAUGUACUAAUUUUCCCUAAACCAAGUUGUGAUAUUUUCUUAUGGAUUUCUAAGCAAAUUGCAAUGGUUGGUAGUACUUAGCCACUUGAUUCUACCAAUAUCUGUUUCAGAAUUUUGAUUUUAGAAGCUUAUUUGCUCCCCUACUAUAGAUGAACCCCAUAAUGAUUCAGAUGGUAUCACAUACAAUCAUCCAAACUCUAUUCCAAAGCAAAGUACUUGGAUUGCUAUUAAAUAAAGGGGUUGUUCUGUUGAUUAUUUUUUUCAAUUUUUCAUGGAAGAUAUGGUGUGACUUCAAAUACAUUUACAUUUGAUUGGAUGGAUAUUUUUUCAGCAUUAAACAUGGGUAAUAUAUUGACGAUUCAUGCUUGAACUCACAAACAAGCUGAGUUCUUUUGCAAUUUUAGUUUUUUAGGUCAUUUAAAGGGUUGUGAACAUUACAUUGGAAUUUAGUUACAGCUUCUGGUCCUCCACAUUGUUAGAAAAAAAACCUCCGUCAAGACUGCUUUAUUGCUAUUUAAGGUGUAAUACUACAAUGUUUUUAGAGCUUAGCGUUCAUUGAAUCUUUAUAUUCAUGAAUAAAUAUGUGUAUCCCUUGCAAUAUGUAGUACAUAUACAUAACUUGAAGAUUUAAAUUCCAUGUUCAGCAAUAUAUUAUGGAAUACUAUCUUAUCGCAAAAAUAGAUUAAUGGUCUAGUCCUAUGAACAAAAGGAGGCUUUAAAGAGUUGUUGACAAGUAGCACUACAUUCGACAACCAAUAUUAGAAGACGAUUAUCAAGCGAAACGCAUGCCAGUCCAAAGGAUAUUGUCGCAUUACUAGAGACAUGGUAUUACAUCCAGAACGCUGGCUUGACUAGCCACCGGUACAUAAGCUUCCAUCUUCCAUACACCACCUAACCAGUUACUAAAAGCUUCUACCAAGCCACCUGAUAUUUUCGUUUCUUCACAAAAUAAUCUACAACUAACCUAGUCGCAUGGGUUCGCCAUUAACAAGUCAGACAGCCAAGUGGAAUCGGAAUGUCCUCCAUGACCCUUUACCAUCAGCCAAACCAAAAUAGAAGAAAUCAGUGGCGCGCAGGAUAUAUUAGUUCACCACCCCCUGUUACAUCAGAGACAUAGUGCAAAGCUGUGAGCCGAACACCAACACAAAAUGUAAAUACAAUAAAGCUUGGAAUGCAAUAAAAUGAAGUUUUCGCACCAAAAGGUUAACGAGAAACAUGGUAGUGCUUUGGACUCUCGAGGUUUCCAGAUAAUCCAUAGAUUAAGCUAGUUCUUUACUUACGGUUGUCAGCUCAAUUUCUGAAAAAUGCAUGCGGUGAAAUUCAACCGAUAGCAAGAGGUGGACCAAGCGGUGUCCAUUGUCCAAUGAACAAUGUUCAUCCAGUUCCUAUUAGAGCUAGCAUAAUGAAGGGUCCUCAUUUGUGUAGUACAUUUUUCUUAUCUUGGUUGCUGCUAGAGUAAAGGACAAGAAGAUAAAGGGUGUAACUUGCCUGGGGGGGUCAUAUGAAAAAUGUACCAUGUUGAACCUGCCUACACAUCUAGGUCAUCAAACUCAUAGAAUUGUAUCACAAAAAUUCUAGUUUAAUUGGCAAAGAACGGCAAAUCACUUUUACUCACUAAAAUGCUAUUUGACCAUGCAAGUCUGAUGAUAUUGGAUCCGAGGGGAGUUCUAAUAAAUGUUUGGACAGAUUAUACUAGCUUUCACAUUAAGGUAAUUCAUAAAAAAAACUAAAAAAAGUUAAUCAGAUUUCGAAUAAAUUAGGUCGAAUAGCAGCACAAAUUGAUAGUCCAACUCGGCUUUCACCUGCCUUGACUCACCUAAAGAAGUAUAAGAACCUACAUAUGCAAUUCUCCAGGUUAGGGACCCAAACAUGUCACAACCAUGAAACUUUUGGAUCUAGACUUGAAGCAAGAUUAAGGAGCUAGUUGAUUAUUCAGACAGCAAGCUUCUCAUCCUCUCCUCCACACAGCACUAUAGCGCCCAAUUUUAUUUUGAAAACCUUAAUUACUCGUGGUUCAAGGGUUCACAUCAAGCUAUUUUGAAAUAAACUAUUAUUCUCUGGUCUAACAAUGCCGCUGCUUUAACUGAAUUUACUUCAAGACCAGUACCAAGCUAAUGGUAUAUUCUUUUUGUGCCAAAAUAUUCUCUUGAAUUAUCGGUAUUCAUAUAGCCAUACUAACAUAGUACAGAGGCCAACUAAAUCUUCGGAUAAUGAUGAUGCUAUAAGCCUAUAUGUAGGACCAAUUAGUUUAACUCGAGAACUUGAGAAUGCAAUUAUUUCAACUCCAGAUUUUUUACCGCUUUCGCUUUCCAAUACUAUUAGGACUACAAUAUAUCAUUUGUGUCCUUUUUCAUGGUGUAACUAAACAGUCCAUAUAUGCACAGUACCAAUCCAGCAUAGUCUUGGAUGGCCAACUGUUUAAUUGUAUCAGUGUACAUUUUAGGUGGUAAUGAUCUCGGUCUUUUCAGAACUAGCGGGGUGAUAUACUAUUGGGCUAUGGCAUAUAUAGAUAGGCGACAAUACCGAUAAAAAGAUUUGAUUGAUAAUUUGACAUGGACGGAUGAAUAAGCAUAGAUGGACAGAACCUAGAAUCACUAAACACUUUUGUUUUGCAGUACUUGGAAAAUUGAGAGAUCAUAAGGUAGAGGGACAUCAAUCAAGAAAUCGUCAUCAAACUGUGAUGUUUUGGUUGUGUAUUAAAUUUAUCAUACCUUUUUUUUGGCAGUGGUCCCUCUUCGAUAAUAAAAAAUGGAUUCGACAAUAACCAUAUCCAUGAGUUUGCUGCAAUGCUUGCUUACUCAACUAACCUUAAUAUUAGUGUGCUACAACUCAUUUCUCUGAGAUGACAUAAUGUAGGAAGACAAGUAAUUAUGUGCAUGUUGUCCUAUACAUUUCCAUGCCAUGUUAGCAUUUACUUAAUCAUGAACAAUGGUAGUGCAUAUGUGUCCUUCAAGAGUCCAACUACCUUUACUUCAGCUAAUGCUUCUCAAGAUUAGGUAAUUGUUACAAUUCUACAACAUCUGGUAUGUGUUCGAGUAAUAAGCUUACAAAGAAAAAGUGGGAAGCUACUUAGAAGAUCACCAUGUUUUAUGUGUCAAGUGCCUGAUAUAUUCAGAAAGAUAUGUCCUUAUUUAAAAGAGGAUUGCACUGUGAUAUUUUUGUUGCUCCAAAGUGACCAAUAGCCAUGCAUAACAAGUAUUUUAGAUAUAUAUUUUUGGUUCUCCAAUAUCAGCCAUGAGAGCCUUUAAUCUCUAUUGCAAAGACCGACUUCGAUCAGUGUAGAGCAACUGAUCAAUCAGUCGAUCGAUGAUAGUGCAAUAUCUAUCUAAAGACUGCAUGCCAUGGUUNNNNNNNNNNNNNNNNNNNNNNNNNNNNNNNNNNNNNNNNNNNNNNNNNNNNNNNNNNNNNNNNNNNNNNNNNNNNNNNNNNNNNNNNNNNNNNNNNNNNNNNNNNNNNNNNNNNNNNNNNNNNNNNNNNNNNNNNNNNNNNNNNNNNNNNNNNNNNNNNNNNNNNNNNNNNNNNNNNNNNNNNNNNNNNNNNNNNNNNNNNNNNNNNNNNNNNNNNNNNNNNNNNNNNNNNNNNNNNNNNNNNNNNNNNNNNNNNNNNNNNNNNNNNNNNNNNNNNNNNNNNNNNNNNNNNNNNNNNNNNNNNNNNNNNNNNNNNNNNNNNNNNNNNNNNNNNNNNNNNNNNNNNNNNNNNNNNNNNNNNNNNNNNNNNNNNNNNNNNNNNNNNNNNNNNNNNNNNNNNNNNNNNNNNNNNNNNNNNNNNNNNNNNNNCAGGAUUGCGAUGUUUUUUAAUGGAAUGGACUCAUUUUUCUUGCUAGAUUUUUAACCAUAAUUACUAUUUGCACUUCAAAACAUUAUUACCACAGUAUAGUUAGCCUUGAUGUUGCCUUAUUUGUAUGACCAGUUGUAUGCAACUAUGCAUAUGUACAAGUAUUUUAUUAUUAUUCCAUUCAGUAUUUUAUUAUGCUGCUAGUUACUUGUCUCAAAUUAGUACUGCUAAUGGUUUUUAUCAUUAGGAUCUAUUUUCAAGUUUUAACAUGGAUAUUUUUGCCCUUGUUUUCCCCUUGCUGCCCAAAUGGAAACAGGUGUAUUUUCUCAUGUGUGGAGAUCCUCCGCGUGGUGGGAGGGGAUCCAUCCCCCUGCGCUCACAAAAGCUCCCCCUAGGGGUUUAUUGCCCUGGGUUUAUCUUCCACAACAACCAAAUGAAGCCAAUAUGAAGGAAACUAUGCCGCAAAAGGAAAAUAAUAAAACCACAUCUCAUACCUUCAUACNNNNNNNNNNNNNNNNNNNNNNNNNNNNNNNNNNNNNNNNNNNNNNNNNNNNNNNNNNNNNNNNNNNNNNNNNNNNNNNNNNNNNNNNNNNNNNNNNNNNNNNNNNNNNNNNNNNNNNNNNNNNNNNNNNNNNNNNNNNNNNNNNNCUUGGGAACCUAUGUGAGCAGACGGACAAGCUUCUCACUAAUCUUUGCCUUGGGUGCAUGUACCUUGGCGGCCAUCCGUGCCUGGAUCUUCACCUCUGUGGACCUAAUUCUCUCCAGCUUCUUCUGCAUGUAGAGGGCUCUCUUGGCAUCUAGUCUGGUGAACAAGCUUUUGACGGCAGGUUGCACCUCCGCGAGCAUCUUCACCUCCAGCCCAAGCAGAGGAUACACCUCACACAUUUCCUCGAAGCUCCUGGUGUGAGUCUGGCCGCUGCUGCCAUUCUCAGCCCUCACCAUGGCACCCUCAGCCUCAGCCUGUUUGCUGCCAUUAAUAGGGCCAUCGGUCACUUGCAAGUCUCCCCAAACAUCUUCAGAGAGACUGUCAAGGCGCUUAUCAUGGUCCGUGAUAGACAAGAUGUGUGAUUUCUAGCGACGCAGCAGGGUGCGAACUUUCUCCUUGACAACAAAGUAAUGGCAGCUGCUGUCCUCAAGGCGCUUGGCAACAGAUUCAAAGAAGGCGUAGUCCCCCCACGCCGGCACCUUCCCAUGCUGGCGGCGGUGCUCGGCAAGCUCCUCCAGAAUCAGGACCUCGUCGUUGGGAGACCAUAUGCGCCUGCUUUUCCUUUGUUUGGGUUCUGCCGAUCCGAUAUGUUGCGGCUUCUUCUUCUCGCCAUUUUGAUGCACUGGUGCCCGCGCCGGCGUCUUUCCCCUCUUGCGAGCAGGCAACUUGUUUGAUUGAGGUGGAUUCUUGGCCGCGGGCUGCAGACCAGGCUCUGCCUCCCACUCGCCUCCAUCCUCCGUCGAUUCCUCCCCCUCCCCCUCGCCCCCAUCCUCUGCCGGCUCCUCCGAUUCCGAUUCCCCCAUUUCCUCGUCUGCCACCUCUUGGUCGUGGGAGGUAGAGGAACCGCUCGAGUCUUCUUCCGAACUGGAGGCGGGAUCUGCUGUGGCGGGGCGCUUGCGUGGGGUUGCGGGAGGCUUGCGUGGGGCGGCGCGCUUGGGGGCCAUGGCUAGUGGCGGCUACGGCGAGGUGUCGAGGAAGGCGAGCCGAUGGGAGACCGGUUGGGUUUGGUUAGAUCUGGAGCGCCGCCCAAUAGACAAGCACGGCAGCGAGGAGCUACUAGUCUUUUUUUCUUUUGGAGAACGAGGAGCUACUAGUCACUGGUCUAGCGCCAGCGUCCCCCGAACUUCAAAUUGCCAAAUUUUAGGGGAUUCGAAAUAUUAAGAGCAUCUUACACUUCCCCAAAGACCGUUUUCUAAUUUAAGCUAGAUUAGAGCAUCAUAAUGUGGAUGUAAAAAUCAGGCUGCAGGUGGGACUGUAGAUGGGAAUCACACCACAAUCCACCAGGUCCCAAUACAGUUUGGUGUUAAAAAAGUGGGCAUCCCACCAAAACAAACAUAGAUUAAGCGAAAAUAAGUGGGAUUCCCACUUAACAAAGCAGAGCAAUUUACUUAGCAGCAAUACGCCACUACCGUGCAAUAUGGUCACAUCCCGAGACACAUUCAGAGCAGCAUGCAUCCACCACCUCCAGCGCGCCCCAGCACCGGCUCUCUUGGUCGCACCGUUAGUGCCUUGGAGCUCGCCACCGUCGAAGCCGGCAUGGUUGCUAUUUGAUUUCAGAAAUGAAAUAGGGGAGCUGGGCUCCUUCACUCGAAAAAAAACUGAAAGAACGAUCUCCGUGCACGCAAAGGCAUCGAUGGUGUUCUUGGCGGCGUGUCUGAACGCGUCGAUGACGCCGGGCGCAUCCUCGACUGCCACCCUCCUCAGCGAUGUGAGCUCCUCGUCGCGGCCGUCAAAGCUCAUCUGGGGGCUCACCUAAUGCCUUUGCCUGACGGCGUCGCCGGCAUCGGCUGCGGCGUGCCAGAGCUGUCCGAAGAAGAUGUCGCCCUUAGCAUGCACAUCGUCCACCACGAGCUUCCAUGCUCGAACUGCUCUGGCGCCCAGAUCCCUGGCAUGUCCCUGAACGACAACGACUCCUCGUCCUGCAGCGCCGGCGUGACGCGAGUGGCAUCGGUGAUGAGGAGGCUGCCGGAGGUGGCACGGUGUGAGGAGGAAGAAGCAGGGGCGCGAUGGCGGACCGGCGGCGGUGGGAGCAAGCUGUGGCACCACCCUCUCUCUACUCAUUCGGGCACGACCUACCAAGGUCGAUGUCUAGCUAAUAGGGCAAGGUGGGCUCCCAAUGGGAUAACAGGCUAGCCUGAUUUUUUUUUCUUUCCAAUAGGAGCCCGUUAAAGCAAAUUAAGUGGGAUGAGCUAAUUAGUCCUAUUUAGGCUGUGUUCGGUUUCUCUCGGCUCCUUGAACUCCGCUCCAGGAGCGGACCAGACUUUAGCUAAAUUUGACGGAGCUGCUAAACCCAACUCCCCAACUCCACGGAGCGGGGAAGUUCCAAACAGGGCCUUAAUCUCACCUUGACCAGCCUGAUGUAAAAAUCAUGAAGGUGCCCCCCGGGUGAUCUUUCGUUCUUACCUUUUAACAUUGUGACGGCUUGAAUAAAGAUUUGCGAGGUUGCUUAAGAAAAACGGUGCUGCAACCGAUGAUAUAGAUGUAAAAAAAUUACUCGAGUUUUCUCACUGAUGUAAAAUAGGGCACUUGUUGGUGCAAAUUUACAUCACCUGCGCUCGAGCAACUGCCUGGCGCCCCUCGCGCCCGCCGCACCCCGGCUCGCCGAAACCCACCCGCCUAACCCCGCCGCACUCCUAAUUUAUUAAUGUAAGGUUUAAGUCGAGAUACAUCCCUAGAUUUUACCGAAAUGCACAUCACGUGAUGUGAGGGUUGGUAUUUUCUGCAAGUGUUAUCGACGAUGAAGAUGUCUGGAGCAAGAAUGGAGUUCUCCAGCCGUAUCAAAGAAGGAAAUUGUCCAUCUUAGAGAUUUGUCCACCAGGUGCACCAUUGAACUACGCUGCUGCUUCACCACAUAAUUCAAUCAUCUUCAGAUUCUAUAAGCACAGCUUUCUUCUUCUUUAAUGCCUAACGUGUGCCUUUGAAAAGCACAGCAAGUCUGAAACUUCCGUCAGUUGGAAUAACCAAGAAAGAUGCCGAAACCAAGAGCGUCUUUAGCUGGCCACAGCAUCGAUUUCAGAUUUAUUUAGGUGAUACAAGUACCAGUUCCUGAACUGAGAACACCUACGUACAGUAACCAUGAGCACCUGCGGCAGCAAUGGACUCAAAUGGAGGGUUUAUUCAGAGUUCAGCACAUCUGAACUUUCAGAUGACCUCGUUAAGCUGGAUGAGCAUCUUGUAGAGACCCGGUGCGUUCAC
RNAcentral lists this long non-coding RNA (15395 nucleotides) under Triticum aestivum (bread wheat). RNAcentral's name for it is "long non-coding RNA (TAES_LNC028528)". The record is from RNAcentral. Lineage: Eukaryota; Viridiplantae; Streptophyta; Magnoliopsida; Poales; Poaceae.